RNAcentral lists this ribosomal RNA (400 nucleotides) under phytoplankton environmental sample. Its description in RNAcentral is "partial small subunit ribosomal RNA". It matches the Rfam family "Eukaryotic small subunit ribosomal RNA", at positions 587 to 975 of the family's 1831-position model. The record is from RNAcentral.
AGCUCCAAUAGCGUAUAUUAAUGUUGUUGCAGUUAAAAAGCUCGUAGUUGGAUUUCUGGUUAAGAAUUUUUAAAGUUUUAAUUGAAAAAUUAACUUUUUUUUCUUUUCCAUCCUCAGGUUUUUUUAAUUUUUAUUAAUUAAAAAGUCUGUCAUUUACUGUGAACAAAUUAGAGUGUUCAAAGCAAGGUUUAUUUACUUGAAUACAUUAGCAUGGAAUAAUAAGAUAGGACUUUGGUGGUUCUUUUUUUUAUUAAAUUAAAGAUAUUUUGUUGGUUUGCACGCCAAAGUAAUGAUUAAUAGGAGCAGUUGGGGGUAUUCGUAUUCAAUUGUCAGAGGUGAAAUUCUUGGAUUUAUAGAAGACGAACUACUGCGAAAGCAUUUACCAAGGAUGUUUUCAUUA